UCCCCCCCUUGCGCGGUUAUCGCCCCCGCCCCCGGCACCCCUCGGUCGCCCCGCCCCCCUCUCGCGGUUAUCGCGCACACGACGUCCACCCUGAGGCCUGAGCUCCAAACCUCGAAGAAUCCCUGCGCCCUUGCCGUCGCCUAGCUCCGCAGCUCUCCGCGCGAGGCAACAGGGCGCAAUCGCUACCCACGACGUCGCCCUCUCCGGGGCGCAAUCGCUGCCCGCGCCGUCGCCCUCUCCGUUGGCCACGCACCCAGCUGAGAGGUCCAAGAAACCGUGGCCCCUACCCCUGCCCCUGUGCCCUCGCCCUCGCCGUCACCGUCGCCCAGCUUCCCCACGCUGCACAGCUCGGCGGCUCCCCGCGCGAGUCCUUGAGCGCAAUCGCGGCCCGCGCGGUCGACCUCGCCGUUGGGCGCGCGCCUCCAGGUGCGGCCAUCGAGUUUCUUCAAGUUCUUCGUCGUCUGCCUCUAGGUGCGGCCAAAGAUUUGUUUUUGCGCUCCCCGCGCGAGUCCACAGAGCGCAAUCGCGGCCUGCGCCGUCGACCUCGCCCUCGCCCUGCAGUCCACUGAGCCUACAACAGAUCGACGAUCAUGGCGCAACCUACACCCAUGCGGCUUCCUCCUCGACGAGCGGCGGCCAAAGGGAAGACCUCCUCCUAGCGACGACCGGCUGACUUCGAUGCGUAGCCUCCUCCUCCACAUGCUUGGUCUCUUCCCUGAGCGCCUUCCUACAAUCGCAUGCUACCAGGUGUUCCGGCGGACGUACGCGCGGGUGGCCGGGUGGACGCACACCGUGGGUGGCCCGGCGGCCGGAUGCGUACAAGAAGCACAUGGUCGGGCAUACAUGUGUGGCGGGGCAGGCGGAUGGAUGCUAACAAGUGCCCCGUCAGCUUUUGGUGAUGACGUUCAGGAAGUGUUUGAGGAAUUGUCUGCAAGAGGAGCUGCAUUAAAUUUACAGUAGCAAAUUGGGACUCAUGUUACAGAAGGGUUCGUUUCAUGUGGUGGCACCUCCUGGGAUUGAUUUCAGGUGAUUUGGAGCAUACACAUCUGGUCAGAGGCUUGGACUAUGCUCUACUUCACAGUGCAGAGUGAAAUUGAAAAGGAACCUGAUGCAAAGGCUGGAAAGGAUGCAAAGUCAUGGGAGAGAGUUUUGUGGUGGGUGGGUGGGUGGGCUAACUAUGAAAUCCAUCUUGAAAUAUGAUGGCAUUUUGUGGUAUCCAUGCAUAUUUGCAGAGCAAUAGGUGUCAAUUUGCCUUUGCUUUCUUGUGUUGUACAUGGUGAUCCACUUCUUGGCGUGGUGGUGUAGCCCUAUAAGCCUGGCAGCUCCAUCUUCAACGGCAUGGUGUCGACAUUGACCAUCUCAAGCUUGAUGCAGAUUGUGCUUAUUAUGUGUGUCCUGCUGCGGUGGCUAGCUGUGGCGCACCGCCUGGGCCCGUCCAUGCUGAGGAAUCCAUCGUGUUCGCGGCCGCCUCUGCCACACAACACGCCGAUGCCAUGGAGGCUGCCGCUACAUCAUUGACGAGCUCAAGAAACUAUCAUGCUUCAGUGCUUAGUAGGCUCUUUAGGGUCCUCACUGGUUUCUUAGGUAGCUUUGCUUUUACUAUGCAACAGUGAAUAGGAGUCAUUUUAAGAUCGUCGUGAUCAAGGCGUCAACAGUACUGCAGACGUCAUGGCUGGAGCAAUUCUGUGCACUCUAGCUCUAUUGGUGAGGUGCCAAGUGGCACCCAAAGUUAUCCCCGUCGCCACCGCGCCUGCUAAAGCGGGGGGAGGGGCGUUGUUGCGAUGGAUCACCCCUGUUCCCUAAAGGCAUCACCUUUGAUCUAAUAUGUGGAUUUGUAUGGUCAUAAGUUGCUUGUGAUCUUUUCUUUGAGGGCGGUUUUCCGGCCGGUUGUUGUGAUGUCGGAAUUUGUUGUUGUGGUUCUUGCCGCUGUGUUUUCCUUGUCUAUGUUAAUUUCACGAACUUUGUCUUUUGGAUUAAACAACACUUUAACAUUGGUAUUUAAUUUUAUAGUAUUGUUAUAUUA
This is a long non-coding RNA of Sorghum bicolor (sorghum), 2023 nucleotides long. RefSeq lists it as uncharacterized. The transcript has 6 exons. Lineage: Eukaryota; Viridiplantae; Streptophyta; Magnoliopsida; Poales; Poaceae. The record is from RefSeq and is a predicted model, not a curated record.